Long non-coding RNA from Lemur catta (Ring-tailed lemur), 805 nucleotides. RefSeq lists it as uncharacterized. Lineage: Eukaryota; Metazoa; Chordata; Mammalia; Primates; Lemuridae. The record is from RefSeq and is a predicted model, not a curated record. The transcript has 6 exons.
GGGAUAGGACGAGGCCGUUGCUAAGUCCCGGUAACCAUGGAGAGCGUCACUUGGAGCUGAGCGCAGCCCUGUCGCGCGUCUCUUCGUCUUUCCGGGGUUUGAAGAGACCGGAACCUCUAGUGCUACGGGCUGGGAGAUGCGGUCCCUGGUGCAGGAGGGUGUGCUGUGUUCUCGGUGCUAGCUCUGCUUCUUUUACCGUCAUUAUCACCACCUGAACUCAUGUGUGCAUUUACUCAUCUGCUGUCCUGUCGACUCCACCGGAAGGAAUAUCAGCUCUGUCUCCAACACCCUGAGCCCCCGCAGCCCAAUAACUACGAGUCGGGAUUCCCUUCCCUUUUUUGUGGAAAGAGUCCUUUCAGCAUCUGGCGAAGCUGUUAAACCAGGGUGGAGAGGAUGGUGGAGGCUGGUCUGCUCACCCGUGUCUCAGACCCAGUGAUUGGCUUACGCACCAAGGGGAAGCGAGUGAUUCCAAGCUGGGCCCAGUGUCUUUGGGAUGCGGGGAGAAAGGUUCUUCUGCCUUCUGAGGAGGUUUCUGUGGGAAGAGAGCAGGCCACUGGUCUACAAUAGAACCACGAGGUUCUCAAAUUUUACUUGCAUGAAAUCCAGACAUUGUCUAAGAGAUCUGCAACCUUUAAAGAACAAUAUGGAUUCCAAACCCUUGUGGCAUGAACUGUGACCAGAAGCAGUCUUGACUGGCCAGAGGAAGCAGGCAGGUGGCAGCAUGUAAACUAUGUGCCAACAAAAUCCAACCCAUGUGUCAUCCAGCACAUUUUAUUAUUUUUAAUAAAUUUUAAUUAUUAUGGGU